UACGUAGGGACCAAGCGUUGUUCGGAUUUACUGGGCGUAAAGGGCGCGUAGGCGGCAAUUCAAGUCAUCUGUGAAAUCUCCGGGCUUAACCUGGGAACGGCAUUUGUGACUGCACGGCUAGAGUGUGUCAGAGGGGGGUAGAAUUCCACGUGUAGCAGUGAAAUGCGUAGAUAUGUGGAGGAAUACCGAUGGCGAAGGCAGCCCCCUGGGAUAACACUGACGCUCAUGCACGAAAGCGUGGGGAGCAAACAGG
Molecule: ribosomal RNA, 253 nt
Filed under: uncultured bacterium
Lineage: Bacteria
Description: partial 16S ribosomal RNA
Rfam family: Bacterial small subunit ribosomal RNA
Source: RNAcentral